UACAGAGGUCCCAAGCGUUGUUCGGAUUCACUGGGCGUAAAGGGUGCGUAGGCGGUCGGGUAAGUCUGACGUGAAAUCUUCAAGCUCAACUUGGAAACUGCGUCGGAUACUAUUCGGCUCGAGGAAUGGAGGGGAGACUGGAAUACUUGGUGUAGCAGUGAAAUGCGUAGAUAUCAAGUGGAACACCAGUGGCGAAGGCGAGUCUCUGGACAUUUCCUGACGCUGAGGCACGAAAGCCAGGGGAGCAAAC
This 250-nucleotide ribosomal RNA is filed under the name uncultured bacterium. RNAcentral's name for it is "partial 16S ribosomal RNA". It matches the Rfam family "Bacterial small subunit ribosomal RNA", at positions 524 to 773 of the family's 1533-position model. The record is from RNAcentral.